AGACAGGUUCACGUGAUCGCUGGUGUGCAUCCGCACACGGGAGGAAAGUCCGAGCUUCGCAGGGCAGGAUGCCAGGUAACUCCUGGUGGGGGCGACCCCGAGGAAAGUGCCACAGAAAGCAAACCGCCUCGCCGUCGAAAGGCCGCGCGGCAAGGGUGAAAGGGUGAGGUAAGAGCUCACCGGGCUGGCGGUAACGUUGGUCGCACGGCAAACCCCAUCUGAAGCAAGACGAAAUAGGGAGGCGUUGAGGGUGGUCCCGCCC
RNAcentral lists this RNase P RNA (262 nucleotides) under Deltaproteobacteria bacterium. Its description in RNAcentral is "partial RNase P RNA component class A". It matches the Rfam family "Bacterial RNase P class A", at positions 1 to 261 of the family's 367-position model. Rfam says of the family: Ribonuclease P (RNase P) is a ubiquitous endoribonuclease, found in archaea, bacteria and eukarya as well as chloroplasts and mitochondria. The record is from RNAcentral. Lineage: Bacteria; Pseudomonadati; Myxococcota; Myxococcia.